ACGGGUGAGUAACGCGUAGGUAACCUGCCUGGUAGCGGGGGAUAACUAUUGGAAACGAUAGCUAAUACCGCAUAAGAGUAGAUGUUGCAUGACAUUUGCUUAAAAGGUGCAAUUGCAUCACUACCAGAUGGACCUGCGUUGUAUUAGCUAGUUGGUGGGGUAACGGCUCACCAAGGCGACGAUACAUAGCCGACCUGAGAGGGUGAUCGGCCACACUGGGACUGAGACACGGCCCAGACUCCUACGGGAGGCAGCAGUAGGGAAUCUUCGGCAAUGGACGGAAGUCUGACCGAGCAACGCCGCGUGAGUGAAGAAGGUUUUCGGAUCGUAAAGCUCUGUUGUAAGAGAAGAACGAGUGUGAGAGUGGAAAGUUCACACUGUGACGGUAUCUUACCAGAAAGGGACGGCUAACUACGUGCCAGCAGCCGCGGUAAUACGUAGGUCCCGAGCGUUGUCCGGAUUUAUUGGGCGUAAAGCGAGCGCAGGCGGUUAGAUAAGUCUGAAGUUAAAGGCUGUGGCUUAACCAUAGUACGCUUUGGAAACUGUUUAACUUGAGUGCAAG
This 562-nucleotide ribosomal RNA is filed under the name uncultured Bacilli bacterium. RNAcentral's name for it is "bacterial SSU rRNA". It matches the Rfam family "Bacterial small subunit ribosomal RNA", at positions 102 to 652 of the family's 1533-position model. The record is from RNAcentral. Lineage: Bacteria; Bacillati; Bacillota; Bacilli.